Molecule: non-coding RNA, 107 nt
Organism: Gossypium arboreum
Lineage: Eukaryota; Viridiplantae; Streptophyta; Magnoliopsida; Malvales; Malvaceae
Source: Rfam
AAGCCAUGGUGAGGGCACUUUCUCAAUAAAUCCUUGUAUCUCUCUCAUGCAUCAUAUAGUGGUUCUAAAUCCAUCUGCACAAAAGAAGAGAUAUCAUUCCUCAAUUU